CUUGGUCAUUUAGAGGAAGUAAAAGUCGUAACAAGGUUUCCGUAGGUGAACCUGCGGAAGGAUCAUUACAGUGUCUCCCUGCCCUUCGGGGUAGGAUCGCCACCCUUGAUUAUUUAUGAGUGUUGCUUUGGCGGGCCUCGCGGCCUGGCCGCGCCCCGGCUUCGGCGGGGGAGCGCCCGCCAGAGGAUUCUACAAACCUGAUUAUUAGUGUCGUCUGAGUACUAUAUAAUAGUUAAAACUUUCAACAACGGAUCUCUUGGUUCUGGCAUCGAUGAAGAACGCAGCGAAAUGCGAUAAGUAAUGUGAAUUGCAGAAUUCAGUGAAUCAUCGAAUCUUUGAACGCACAUUGCGCCCCGUGGUAUUCCGCGGGGCAUGCCUGUUCGAGCGUCAUUAUGACCAAUCCCGCUCGCGGGGUCUUGGGCACCGCCUCUGGGCGGGCCUCAAAAUCAGUGGCGGUACGGCCGGGCUCUGAGCGUAGUAAAUYUUCUCGCUACAGGGUCCCGGGCGGCACUGGCCAGCAACCCCCAAUCUUUUACAGGUUGACCUCGGAUCAGGUAGGGAUACCCGCUGAACUUAAGCAUAUCAAUAAGCGGAGGAAAAGAAACCAACAGGGAUUACCUCAGUAACGGCGAGUGAAGCGGUAACAGCUCAAAUUUGAAAUCUGGCUCUUUUAGGGUCCGAGCUGUAAUUUGUAGACGAUGCUUUGGGUGUGGUGCCGGUCUAAGUUCCUUGGAACAGGACGUCAUAGAGGGUGAGAAUCCCGUAUGUGAUCGGUCGCCUUCGCCCGUGUAAAGCUCGUUCGACGAGUCGAGUUGUUUGGG
This 821-nucleotide small RNA is filed under the name uncultured Zalerion. RNAcentral's name for it is "eukaryotic LSU rRNA". The stretch from base 541 to 821 matches the Rfam family "Eukaryotic large subunit ribosomal RNA", at positions 1 to 278 of the family's 3401-position model. The record is from RNAcentral. Lineage: Eukaryota; Fungi; Ascomycota.